AUUUCUAUUUGGUAGCCAAGGAUGACUUGCCUACUUCUUUGCGAAGGAAAAUGGUCACGGUGUCAUGUUUGAAAGUGAAUAUACAUUUUUAAGAGUAUAUCAAUUAGUGACCAUUUUGCGUAUAAAAAGAUAUUAGGCAGUCUCCUUGGCUAUCCUUAUAUGUUCU
Molecule: microRNA precursor, 166 nt
Filed under: Brassica oleracea var. oleracea
Lineage: Eukaryota; Viridiplantae; Streptophyta; Magnoliopsida; Brassicales; Brassicaceae
Source: RNAcentral